GGCUUGAUUUGGCCCAGAUUGAACGCUGGCGGAAUGCUUACACAUGCAAGUCGAACGGCAGCACGGACUCGGUCUGGUGGCGAGUGGCGAAAACGGGUGAGUAAUGUAUCGGAACGUGCCUAGUAGCGGGGGAUAACUACGCGAAAGCGGAAGCAUUACCGGGCAUACGUUCUUCGGGGAAAGCGGGGACCUUCGGGCCUCGCACUAUUAGAGCGGCCGAUAUCGAUUAGCUAUUGGUGGGGUAAUGGUCAUCAAGGUGACGAUCCGUAGCUGGUUUGAGAGGACGACCAGCCACACUGGGACCGAGACACGGCCCAGACUCUACGGGAGGCAGCAGUGGGGAAUUUUGGACAAUGGGGGAAACUCCGAUCCAGCCAUCCCGCGUGUGCGAUGAAGGCCUUCGGGUUGUAGCACUUUUGGCAGAAAGAAACGGCACGGGAUAAUACCCCGUGCGCAACUGACGGUACCUGCAGAAUAAGCACCGGCUAACUACGUGCCAGCAGCCGCGGUAAUACGUAGGGUGCAAGCGUUAAUCGGAAUUACUGGCGUAAAGCGCAGGCGGUUCGAAAGAAAGAUGGAAAUCCCAGAGCUUAACUUUUGAACUGCAUUUUUAACUGGAUUGAGCGAGGUGUCAGAGGAGAAUUCCGCGUAGCAGUGAAAUGCGUAGAUAUGCGGAGGAACACCGAUGGCGGGCGCAGCCUCCGGAUAAAUACCGACGCUCAUGCACGAAAGCGUGGGGAGCAAAUAAGGCGGAUUAGAUACUCCCGGUAGUCCACGCCCCUAAAACGAGGCCGUUCAGCUGCUGUUGGGGCCUUCGGGCCUGGUAGCGCAGCUAACGCGUAGCGCCGACCGCCUGGGGAGUACGGUCGCAAGAUUAAAACUCAAAGGAAUUGACGGGGACCUGCACAAGCGGUGGAUGAGCGUGGAUUAAUUCGAUGCAACGCGAAAAACCUUACCUACCUCCUUGACAUGUCUGGAAUCCCGAAGAGAUUUGGGAGUGCUCGGGUAAGAGAAUCCGAACAGGUGCUGCAUGGCUGCCGUCAGCUUCGUGUCGUGAGAUGUUGGGUUAAGUCCGCAACGAGCGCAACCCUUUACAUUAGUUGCUGCUGAAAGGGCACUUCAAUGAGACUGCUGGUGACAAACCGGAGGAAGGUGGGGAUGACGUCAAGUCCUCAUGGCCCUUGCGGCAGGGCUUCACACGCCAAGGCUAUACAAUGGUCGGGACAGAGGGUCGCCAACCCGCGAGGGUGCCAAUCCCAGAAACCCGGAUCGUAGUCCGGAUCGCAGUCUGCAACUCGACUGCGCGGAAGUCGGAAUCGCUAGUAACGGUGGAUCAGCAUGUCGCGGUGAAUACGCUGCCCCGGUCUUGUACACACCGCCCGCCACACCAUGGGAGUGGGUUUUACCAGAAGUAGUUAGCCUAACCGUAAGGAGGGCGAUUACCACGGUAGGAUUCAUGACUGGGGUGAAGUCGUAACAAGGUAG
RNAcentral lists this ribosomal RNA (1485 nucleotides) under uncultured Bordetella sp. Its description in RNAcentral is "partial 16S-23S ribosomal RNA intergenic spacer". It matches the Rfam family "Bacterial small subunit ribosomal RNA". The record is from RNAcentral. Lineage: Bacteria; Pseudomonadati; Pseudomonadota; Betaproteobacteria; Burkholderiales; Alcaligenaceae.